GGCGGUUCUCAGGUGAUGCACCCCGGAAUCAAGCUCCCUCCUCUCUGGUUCCAUGUGUGUCACCUGAGGCCCACA
Molecule: non-coding RNA, 75 nt
Organism: Myotis lucifugus (little brown bat)
Lineage: Eukaryota; Metazoa; Chordata; Mammalia; Chiroptera; Vespertilionidae
Source: Rfam